CCUGGCUCAUGAGAUGAUGCAUGCAUGGAUGCGACUUAAAGGUUUCCAACAUCUCAGUCAAGAUGUUGAAGAGGGCAUUUGUCAGGUGCUUGCAUACAUGUGGUUAGAGUCACAGCUCCGAACUGGUUCUGGCAGCAAUGUUGCUUCAUCCUCUGCUUCUCGAGCUUCAAAACGGGGUGCAAGAUCUCCAUUUGAGAGGAAGCUGGGGGAAUUUUUUAAACAUCAGAUUGAAUCAGACACUUCCCCUGUAUAUGGAGAUGGAUUCAGAAUAGGCCACCAAGCAGUGCAAAAAUAUGGCCUUCAAAGGACACUUGACCAUAUUCGAAUGACAGGGACAUUUCCAUAUUGAACUCCUGAAUCUUGAAUUCUUACCAUGCUUUUCUUUAACACAGUUAAAAGCUUUGGCCUUUUCCUAUACGACCCCAAGGCCAAACCACACUGCACAUAGGAAUUGUUUUCUAGAGUAGUUUUAAGCAGUCCUGAUAUGUUUUUCGUCCCAUGGGUAUGAUUCCAUUGAAUAGCCUUUUUUGAUGAAGUUAUUAUUUAAUGAGAAAUAGUCAUUCUUUGAUUUAAGUCUCGUGUCUCGCUCAAUUCUGAUACAUAAGCUCAUUUCAUUAACAUCGAGUAUAUGUGCUCAUUACGUCUCAUCUUUUAGAGCAAUCCUUGUUGUUGCUGAUACAAUUCUAGAUUGUUUAACGGAAACAAUGUAUAAAUUCUUUUAUUAAAGAAGUCUCCUUUAUUUAGAGGA
This 748-nucleotide unclassified non-coding RNA is filed under the name Hevea brasiliensis (rubber tree). The record is from RNAcentral. Lineage: Eukaryota; Viridiplantae; Streptophyta; Magnoliopsida; Malpighiales; Euphorbiaceae.